This 1297-nucleotide long non-coding RNA is filed under the name Brassica rapa (field mustard). RNAcentral's name for it is "long non-coding RNA (BRAP_LNC000598)". Lineage: Eukaryota; Viridiplantae; Streptophyta; Magnoliopsida; Brassicales; Brassicaceae. The record is from RNAcentral.
CGUGUUGGUGGUGCUGCUGAGGGUAGUGCGGGUGGUAAACCUGAGGAGCUGGAGCUGGGACAGGGACAGGGCCGUUGCAAUAACCGUUGUAAGCUGGGUAACCGAUAGGUGAGGCUUGGUAUGAGGCGGGGAUAAGCUCAGGAGAGUAUGGAUAAGGUGGGCUCCUGUUGCUGUAGACAGUAGUAGGUGGUGAUGGGUAAGCCGCUGCAGGUGAAGCGUACUGAGGGGAGUGAGACGGUGAUCUGAUGAACGGGAAGGAAGAGACGUACGCGUUUGUGAUACGCCCGGCUUUUGCUGGUGGCAUUGGACCGUUGUAGCUGGCUCUGGUUCUCUUGUUGGCCGGCACAGCUGCUGGUUUUCUCUUCUCGGUUUUGGUCUUCUCUAGCUGUUCCAACCGCUUCUUGAGGUUCUCCGGAGGGAACUCUUCCUCGAGUUUGUACUCUUCUAUGCAUUUCAAGACCGCCUUAAGAGCUGACUGCUCCUUGCGCGCCACAAGAUGCUAACAUAACAAAGAUAAUGAAUUUAAACUUGCGAAUAAAAGAUGUUCAAGGUGAGAUAAACGAGUAGAUUACCGAAGCUCGGCCAGUAUUGCUGGAGUCUUCCGCGACUGUCUUCUUUGCAUCCCUCAGAUAGGCUUUGAGUAGAGGAACGGGAGGGAACUUAUCCACAAGGCCAACUUCAUAAGUAAAAUGAACUGCAUCAAGCUGUUGUCCUCUGCUGAUCAACUCUUCAAUCAUAUCUGUUCAAGCAUAACAACUCAAACCAUUAUUCAUAACCUCAAGAUCAUCAGUAUCUAAUCUGGCUUACAUCUAAACUCACACCUUAUGUCACUAAAGUUUCAGACUUCGCCAAUAAUAUCACAAGAAGAUAGGAGCUUAGGCUUACCAGGCAUUUGAUCACCCAAACCAACUAAAACAGCAAGCUUUGGCAUCUGUUUGCGCCACGCGGAUCCAACGACAAGCUUUCUGUACAGACCAAGAUCUUCACUUUUAACAAUCCCAAACGUCACAAGAUGCUGAAGAAACGUAUGGACAUCAGGAGUCUUGACAUUCUCCACCCUUCCUCUCUCCUCCAAGCUCGCCUUCCACGUCUCCGCAAUCUCCUUAGCUUUCUCCUUAACGCUCGGAGUAACAAGCAGCCUCGUCUUCCCAAUCACUGGAUCCACCAUCACAGGUGCUAAGCUCUCCAGAAUCACCACACAAGCCCAUCCAAAAUCGUUAGUCAUCUUCUCUCCGGAGCCUCUCUUAUCCACGGGAAACACCUCAGAUAUCGCCUCGAGCACCAACAUCGCCGGAUC